This 66-nucleotide transfer RNA is filed under the name Axianassa australis. Its description in RNAcentral is "tRNA-Ile". The record is from RNAcentral. Lineage: Eukaryota; Metazoa; Arthropoda; Malacostraca; Decapoda; Axianassidae.
GAUAUAGUGCCCGAGCUUAAGGAUAGUCCUGAUGCGACUAAACACGUAGUAUUACUACCUAUAUCU